RNAcentral lists this ribosomal RNA (478 nucleotides) under uncultured bacterium. RNAcentral's name for it is "bacterial SSU rRNA". It matches the Rfam family "Bacterial small subunit ribosomal RNA", at positions 36 to 507 of the family's 1533-position model. The record is from RNAcentral.
CUGGCGGCAUGCCCUUACACAUGCAAGUCGAACGGCAGCACGGGAGCAAUCCUGGGUGGCGAGUGGCGAACGGGUGAGUAAUAUAUCGGGAACGUGCCCAGUCGUGGGGGAUAACGUAGCGAAAGCUACGCUAAUACCGCAUACGAUCUAUGGAUGAAAGCGGGGGAUCGCAAGACCUCGCGCGAUUGGAGCGGCCGAUAUCAGAUUAGGUAGUUGGUGAGGUAAAGGCUCACCAAGCCGACGAUCUGUAGCUGGUCUGAGAGGACGACCAGCCACACUGGGACUGAGACACGGCCCAGACUCCUACGGGAGGCAGCAGUGGGGAAUUUUGGACAAUGGGCGCAAGCCUGAUCCAGCAAUGCCGCGUGCAGGAUGAAGGCCUUCGGGUUGUAAACUGCUUUGUACGGAACGAAACGGUGAGCUCUAAUACAGUUUGCUAAUGACGGUACCGUAAGAAUAAGCACCGGCUAACUACGUG